CAGGAAGCCGGUGAGACUCCGGCGCGGUCCCGCCACUGUGAGCCCGCGUCCCCGGACGAGGUGAGUCAGGAACUG
Molecule: non-coding RNA, 75 nt
Filed under: Microlunatus sagamiharensis
Lineage: Bacteria; Bacillati; Actinomycetota; Actinomycetes; Propionibacteriales; Propionibacteriaceae
Source: RNAcentral